RNAcentral lists this ribosomal RNA (827 nucleotides) under uncultured Pseudomonadota bacterium. Its description in RNAcentral is "bacterial SSU rRNA". It matches the Rfam family "Bacterial small subunit ribosomal RNA", at positions 65 to 887 of the family's 1533-position model. The record is from RNAcentral. Lineage: Bacteria; Pseudomonadati; Pseudomonadota.
AACGUGAAAGCCUUCGGGUGAGUAAAGUGGCGCACGGGUGAGUAAUGGAUAAGAACAUGCCCUGAAGUGGGGAAUAACUGUUGGAAACGACAGCUAAUACCGCAUGGCAUCGCAAGAUUAAAGGUGGGGACCGCAAGGCCUACCGCAUCAGGAUUGGCUUAUCUCCCAUUAGCUAGUUGGCAGGGUAAUGGCCUACCAAGGCAACGAUGGGUACGUGGUCUGAGAGGAUGAUCACGCACACUGGAACUGAGACACGGUCCAGACUCCUACGGGAGGCAGCAGUAGGGAAUAUUGCACAAUGGACGCAAGUCUGAUGCAGCAACUCCGCGUGAGUGAAGAAGGCCCUUGGGUUGUAAAGCUCUUUAGAGUGGAAAGAAGUGCCUGUCGGCGAAUAGCUAGCAGGUGUGACGGUACCACUAGAAUAAGCACCGGCUAAUUUCGUGCCAGCAGCCGCGGUAAUACGAAAGGUGCAAGCGUUACUCGGAAUCACUGGGCGUAAAGCGCGCGUAGGCGGUCUCGUAUGUCGAUUGUGAAAGCCCCGGGCUCAACCUGGGAACUGCAGCCGAAACUGCGAGACUUGAAUGUUGGAGAGGGUGGGGGAAUACCUAGUGGAGAAGUGAAAUUCGUAGAGAUUAGGUGGAACACCAGAGGCGAAGGCGCCUGCCUGGCCAAACAUUGACGCUGAGGCGCGAAAGCGUGGGGGAGCAAACAGGAUUAGAUACCCUGGGUAGUCCACGCCGUAAACGAUGGAUACUCGGCGUUCGGAGAGUUAACCCUCUGAGUGCCAAAGUUCACACAUUAAGUAUCCCGCCUGGGGAAGUACGGUC